Long non-coding RNA from Hippocampus zosterae (dwarf seahorse), 650 nucleotides. RefSeq lists it as uncharacterized. The record is from RefSeq and is a predicted model, not a curated record. The transcript has 2 exons. Lineage: Eukaryota; Metazoa; Chordata; Actinopteri; Syngnathiformes; Syngnathidae.
GACGCCCAGCUCGUAUUGAAGCUCACUCUGCUGAGGGUGUUGGCUCUCCACCCUACUGGCACACGCUUGGAGAAUUGAUGCCUUGGUGGGAGAUGCUGAUCGGGGGACCUGCUAAAACCGGACGAGACAAUGGACCUCAUUGGGCGCCGCGACACUGGAGGUGUCGUCUGCUGGGUCAUCUGCCUCCUUGCCGUUGGUGCUAUGGUCCAGCCCUCCUGGGGGAUGACCGAGGGUCAAACCUGCAGGAGGGGACCUGAACGAUAUACAUCCCUUUCGGCGAACAUGGUAAACAUCACCUGUAAUCAGCCGAUAGUGAUGUGCGACCCCGACAUCCUUGAAGUGAUCAAGGGAAGCGUGGUGACAGUCACCGCUCUGGACACGUCAUGUAAACUGAAUGCCACGGUGUUCUUUCAUGAUGGGGACUGGUACUACGAUGAAAAAGCCGAAUGCGACCCUAAUCAUCAGGGAUCAAACUGGACAAUAGUGGCGGAUGAAGACUUCAUCAUCGGAGACAGCGAACCUAUUGGGCACAAUACCCGUGGGUAUCCGGUGAAAGUGAUUCCUCGAAAGCUACCGCCGACCAUAACUUUGACACACUUGUCCCCCAUUUUGGAUACCUGCACACACCUUGCACAGGCAACAAUCGAAAC